AACGUAGGGGACAAGCGUUAUCCGGAUUUACUGGGCGUAAAGCGCCCGUAGGCAGCUUGGCAAGUUGGACGUGAAAGCUCCCGGCUUAACUGGGAGAGGCCGUACAAAACUGCGAAGCUAGAGGUUGGAAGAGGAGAGCAGAAUUCCCGGUGUAGUGGUGGAAUGCGUAGAUAUCGGGAGGAAUACCAGUGGCGAAAGCGGCUCUCUGGUCCAGACCUGACGCUGAGGGGCGAAAGCGUGGGGAGCGAACGGG
RNAcentral lists this ribosomal RNA (253 nucleotides) under uncultured bacterium. RNAcentral describes it as "partial 16S ribosomal RNA". It matches the Rfam family "Bacterial small subunit ribosomal RNA", at positions 524 to 776 of the family's 1533-position model. The record is from RNAcentral.